This 8239-nucleotide long non-coding RNA is filed under the name Sus scrofa (pig). RNAcentral's name for it is "lncRNA (ENSSSCG00040002939.1)". The record is from RNAcentral. Lineage: Eukaryota; Metazoa; Chordata; Mammalia; Artiodactyla; Suidae.
UCCUGCGGCAUAUGGAAGCUCCCAGGCUAGGGGUCGAAUCGGAGCUGUAGCCGCCAGCCUACACCAGAGCCACAGCAACGGGGCGCCGGGGGUGGGGGGGGGAUCCGAGCCCGCAACCUCAUGGUUCCUAGUUGGAUUCAUUUCCGCUGCGCCACGAUGGGAACUCCCAUAAGCUACUUCUUAAAGGUAAGGCAACUAGUGCCUAGAAAGGUUAAGAGGCUUACUUAAGACCAUAAAGCUAGUAAAAGGCAAAUCUGAUAAUACAAAACUUCAAAACUUGAGCUUUCUAUCAAUAUGCUGUACUUAUAAAAAAUGUUUAAAUUCUUCUUAGAAUUGAGAAAUUGAAAAAUGUAAGAUUUAAUUAUUAUGAAGAUUUUUAUAUGUGUUAUAUCUUGUUGUUGUGUUGGUCCAGGCUAUUGAUAGUGAUGCUUAUUGAUAGUGAUGCUAUCAAGUGAAGAAUUAUUGAAGUACAUGCCUAGGCCCAUAUCACUACUGGAGUUGAUGUGGUUCUUAUUAUAAUUUUGGGAUGCUGAACUGGGCCUUUGUGGUUCUUAUAUAAUUUUGGGAUGCACUUCAGCAAAAUUCAUCAGGGAAAUUUGAAUAAUAAGACUUAUUACUUUCAGAUCCUAGAAUAUACACAGCACAACUGAGGGGCAUACAGUGAGACUGUGAAAAGAAAGGGAGAGAAAAAGAGAGGGUGGGGGAGUGAGCAGGUCUCUAGGAAUCCAAGGAUGCAUGUUUUAUUUGGCUAAUUUAAAACAUAAAGAUAGUAAGUAGUAGAAGCCAAAUUUGUCUUCAAUCACAAGGCUCUAGUUGAGGCUUUUGCAGACUUUCAACUUAUGCUAUAACGAGGUUCAGUAUUCCAGCCAGCAACUACUUGCAAACUCCAGGGUAUUGAGAUGCAGCUGCAGCAGUAGUGUCAAUGGUUUUCUGUGUCCUGUAUCAGAGUUGUAAUAGUGUGUCCUUGAACUCAAUCUCAGAGGCUACCUUCUGGUUCCUUUCCUUUCUGAUUUUACCAGAGGUAGCCACAUUCUUGACUAGUCUGUUUUUAAGACAGUUAGGAAUUUAUUUCUGUACAUGCAGCCAGAGCCUGUCUUUCCAGGAUUUCCAUCAUUUUUGUUAGCAAAUACCUAGAAUGGAUUAUUCAAACACAUUGUAUUGUGGUUGAUCUUGUCUGGGGAAAAAAGAUGACAUUUAAUAGAAAUAUUUUAAAAUGAUUACAUAUGUUUCUAAACCAUUGAAGUUUGAUUCCAUGAAAACACUGGAAAAAUAUAAUUUUUAGGUUUGACAAGAUCAAUCACAUAGGGAAAUGUGAAAGUCUUAGAUAUGAGAGGAUAUUAUAUGGUCCGGGAGAAUUUUUCUCAAGGGUCUAUGGUCUUUCAGAAGAUGGGAAUUUAUUAGUAUGAUUCAGAAAAAUUACAUGGACUUUGGAAUCAGAUAGGUCUAGAUUCAAAAUGUGGCCCUUAAACUUAUGAAUUUCAUGGCAUUAUUCAACUUGCAAACAUCAGUUUUCUCACUGAUGAAAUGUAGAAUAAUUAUACUUUUCAUAAGAUUGUCAUGAGAUUGUCAUAAGUAAAUGAUACAAUGUCUGUAAUACAAGUGACACAAUAUCUGGCAUUAAAUAUAUAAUUAAUGAUAUUUACAUUCUUUUACCUAUGCCCCAUUUUGCAAACAGUAGUUUCAUCUUAUGGAAUGUUUCAAGGGAAGUUAAGCUUUUACAUUUUACUUGAUGCUUUUCUGUAUGUAACACUAUUAUGGCUAGAUGUUGUCUCCCAAAUAGAUUCCAACAGCAGGAAGAAGUUAAAUCACUUCUUGUGAGAAUGUGCAACAAGUUGAAAUGAGCAGAAGGAAAUACAUGUGGGAUUAGAAAAAUUGUGAGAGCAUAUAAUUCAAACAAUCUCAACCAGAAUAAAUAGAAAGGAAAUGAUACCAAGAUUAAAUUCUUGUUACUAAGUGAAAGAACCCAAUCUGAAAAGCCUACAUGCUAUGUUUCCAACUAUAUGACAUUCUGAAAAAGGCAAAACUAUGGGGAAAGUAAAAAUAACAGUGGUUGCCAUAGGUUUUCAGGGAAACAAAGAUCAAUAGCAGGGCAUAGAGGAUUUUUAGGGCAGUGAAAAUAACUCUGUAUAAUAUAAUGAUGCAUACAUAUCAUUACUCAUUUGCCCAAACUCAAAAGGUACAACACCAAGAGUCAAAUGUAAUGUAAACCAUGGACUUUGGGUGAUUAUGAUAUGUUCAUGCAGGUUUAUCAGUUGUAACAAAUGUACCACUCUGGUGGAAAAUGUUCACAAUGGGAGAGGCUAUGCAUUUUAGAAGUCGGGGGGAUGGGGGUGAUGGUCUAUGGGAAUUCUUCGCACCCUCUACUCAGUUUUGCUAUGUGAAAUUAAGUCUUAUCUAUAAUCAAAUUGCUAAAAAUUGAAUAAAAUUUUUAAAAAUCUUGAAAGCAGCUAGAGAGAAAAAAGACAUUAUCUACAAAGAACAAAGAUAGGAAUGUCAGCACAAUUCUUACUGAAACUGUGCAACCUGGAAAAUGAGCAUUAUUCUAAUGGGGGGAGGAGAAAAUUAUCAAUUUUAUCAAUGAAAAUCUAUAUCCAUGGAAAAUACUUGAAAAUAUCUUGCAAAAAUGAAUAUAAAGACCUCUAUGUCCAGAUAACAUUGAGUAAGAGGGAUCAUAUUAAUUCACCUGUCUGAAAUUACAAAAAUUACAAAAUAUAUGAAACAGUGGUUUUUAAGACACCAGCUAUCAGGCAACAAAAGACAGUGAUCCAUGAGGACAGGAAAUAGAACAAUAUGGCACCUUUCCUUACUGACUUGAGAAAUAGUCCAGACUACAGGGCAGUGGGGAGGACCCAGGAAAACUUUAGCAGACUCCCUCAGUUUUUGACACAAAAUUGAGAAUACUGAAAGACAAAGAAGGCCAGAAUUUGUGGAACAUAGUACUGGAGAAGAUAGAGCUGCACAGAAAUCAAACUCUAGAGAUUUGUGGAGGAUCCCCCCUGGAGUUUUCAGUAUUCAGUGUCCUCUAAUCACUACAUGUGUGUGAGAAACUGCAAGAGACUGGGGGAAAAGUCAACUGAGAGGAUUACAAAAAAUAUGGCUCAGUGCUUACACAGAGCUGGAAAUAGUGCCUGUUCUAAUCAGCCAGACUGAAAAAACACAUAAUUCACAGGUUACUGGUUAGCGUACUCAAAAAGAUCUUACUUAUUCGGUGGAAAAUAAUUCUCUUUGGACAAAAUAUUCUUCCGGUCCCACCUAAAUUUUUUUUAAAAAGAUCCAAAUGAAUCAAUCUCUUUUCAAAUAGUUUAUCUGUUAAAUCCAAGAAUAGAGGUCAAGGGUAUGUUGAAUACAAAAAUAACACUGAACAAGGUAACUAACAGUGUUUGUUGUCUUGUUAAAGAUUACCAGCCAUACAAAGAACAACAGGAUCAUAUAACUCAUAAUGGAAGAAAAAAACAAGUAGCUGAAAUUUAGCAAAACUGACAAGAUGAUAGAAUCAAUAAACAAGGACAUUAAAACGGUUUUUAUGACUAUAUUCCAUGUGUUCUAAAAGUUGACUAGACUUCCAGUUCAAACCGGAUGGCAUAAACCCACUUCUUCCUGCUCCUCCUGGCAUAGUACAACUAUAAACCAUGGAAAUAUUGAAAAAUAACAAGGAGAAAACUGAAGGGUACAAAAAGGAAGGUAACUGGUUUGGGACCUCAGAACUGAAGGGACAACUUACCAACAAGAGGUCUUAUUGCACCCCACACAGCAGAAGGCAACCCAGGACCAACAUUUUCCAAACUCCAAUCUAUAAAUAAAGUGCAGCUCAAAUAGGUUCAAUUAUUCUCUGGAUUAAAUGAGAAUCCCUUCAGGUGAGCAUGGUAACAAGCAAAGUGGAUUACUAGAGAGACAUGUUGACACUAAGAGACCAGGAAAACACUCUCCUUCCGUACGAGGCCUGAGACUCCCUUCCCCAUCCAGAGAUACAGCUUGCUAGGAAAGCACCAGCAAGGGGGAUCCCACAAGAAGUGUGUAGCCUAGGUGCCUUUUACAAGGGGCAUUACGGGUUGGAUGGCACUGACAAAAGGGAUCCUGCUAUAACAAGGGCUCAGCUUGGGAAAUAUUCUGCCUAUAGCUGAGAUUCUUCCCUUACUGAGAGAGAGAAGGUAUCUAGAGACAUGGAUAAAAAUGUUCUAUUACAACUAGCGGCUGGCCCAGGAAGUCUGUUCAUUUCUAUGGGACUGAGUCUCCUUUCCCCUACCAAGAGACACUGAGUAGGUAAACAACACAAGUCAAAAGGAUCCUAAUCCAACAAGGAGCAUGGCAUAAGAAGCCAAUUUAUUUUUGGUUGGAGAUGUCCUGCCUAUCAGAACCAGACAGCACAGCCUGGACAUCAUUCUUCAAGCAAUAAUAACCCCAAGGGAGGCCCCAGGGGAAAAAUAAACCAAGAACCAAGCAGGUAAAAAUGGCACCAUAAUGCCUCUUAAAAUUAUCAUUGAAGUCACAGAUUAGAAAAGGCCAGGAACUCCAUGCAAAACCUAAGCAGGAUGAAUGACUGUUAAAGUAUUUUUAAAUAGGAUCUUGAGUCUCCUAACAAAAGAGAACAAAAUAGCCAAAAUUUCUGAUGUGAUAAAAAACAUUAAUCAUACCAAGAGUCAGAAAAGUCACAACUUAUAUGAGAAAAGACUAUCAACCGAAGUAAACGUCAAAAUAUAUUAGAUGUUGGAAAUACCCAAUAAAGAUUUUAAAGCAUCCUUAACAAAAAUGCUUCAACAAGAAAUUAUAAGUUCUCUUGAAAUAAACAAAUGAAAAUUUAAAAUCAUCAAAUAAAUAUAAAUCAUAAAAUAGAAAAUAUAAAACUGAACAUUACAGUAAACAAAAUAAAAUAUUUGCAGGAUGGGCCCAAUCACAGAAUAUUGAUGACAAAGGAUAGAAUCAGUACAGUUAACUAGAAUUUACCCAGUUUGAACAACAUAGAGAAAACAGAAUCAAAUUAACAGAGCCUCAAGAACCUAUGUGUGACAAUACUAAAAUAUCCACCAAUUGUAUCAUCAGAGUCCAGGAAGGAGAGGAGAAAAAAAAGGGACUACAAAGAAAUACUAGAUGAAAACUUGCCAAAUUUUGCAAAAGACAUACUCUUACAAAUUUGAAGGCUGAACUUAUUCUAAGUAGGGAAAUCCAAAACAAUCCACACCAAGACACAUAAUAAACUUUUGAAAACUAAAAGAAAAAUCUUAAAAUAAACCAGAGAGAAAAGAUAUAUUACUUACAGGGGAAUAUCAAUUCUAAUGACAAUAUUUUCAUCGGAAUCCAUGGUGGCCAAAACAAACAUUUUUCAAGUGCAGAGAAAAUGACUAGUCAUGAAUUCCAUAUCCAGUGAAACUAUCCUUCAGAAAGGAAGGUAAAAUAAAGAUGUUUUUAGAUAAAGGAAAAUGAAAAUAAUUUGUCAGAAGCAGACCUACCCUUACAGAAAGGCUGAAAAGAAAGGAAUUGAUAAAGAAGGAAUCAUGGGACAUCAGGAAGGAAGAUAAAUGGAAAGAUCAGAAAUAUGGGUAAAAACAGUAAAUUGUCCUUUAUGAGUUAUAUAAAUCAUUUACUAAUUUAAAAAAAUUUUAUAAAGCCAUCUAAUAUGCAAAGUAAUGAUAUUUAAAGUUAAUGAAGGCAAAGGGACCUAAACAGUAGUAAGAUUCUUUCCCUAGAACUGGUAAAUGUUGACUCCAGUAGACUGCGUGGGAAGUCAGAUAUGCGUAAGUUAAUACCCAGAGCUACCACUAAACUAUACAACAAUAUACUUUCAAAACACUAUAUAUCCAAAGAAAUAGAAUCCCGAAAAAUGUUCAAGUAAUUCGCAAGAAGGCGAGAGAGACAGAGAGAAAGAAAAACAUAGAAACAAGUAAUAAAAUGACAGAUUUAAACUUUAACAUAUCACUAAUUACCUUAAAUGCAAAAAUUCUAAACCCACCAAUUAAAAAAUGAUACUGGAAGUGAGGAUAAAACAUCAUGAUUAAAGUUUAGAGGCUUCACAAGGCUCAUUUUCAAUUCAACAACAUAGGUAGAUUGCAAGAAAAAAAAUAUAAUGCAAACAUGAGUCAUUUUUUAAAAAGCAGGAUUAUCUAUGUUAAUAUCAGAUAAAGUCAACUUUAGAGCAUAGGAACUCAUCUGAGACAAAGAGGGACUUGACAUUAUGAUAAAAGGAUCAGUCUGCCAGGAAGACGUACUGAUCCUACAUGUGUAUGAACCAAACAACACAACUUCAAUUUACAUGAAGCAAAAACUCAUAGAGCUGAAAAGAGAUAUACACUGAUCCAAAAUUACAGUUAAGAACUCAUUCUCAGAAACUAAUAUCAUUACUAGAAAGAAAAUCAGCAAGGAUAGAGAUCUAAAUAAAGUAGUCAAUCAAAAAGAUCUCCUUGGCAUACAUGGAACAUUCACCCAACAACAAAAGAAUACACAUUAUUUUAAAGUACCCAUAGAAUGUUCACCAAAAUAGACCAUGUCCUAAGGCAUGAAGCAAAUCCUAAUAAAAUAAUUUAAAUCGUAUAAGGUAUAUUAACUGACCAAAAUGAAUCAAACUACAAAUCAAGAACAGAAAGGCAACAGUAAAUUAUUAAAUACUUGAAAAUUAAACAAUAUAUACCUAAAUAAUGCAUGGAUCAAAGAAGCUUCAAAUAGUCUUAAAAUUACACUUAGAACUGAAUAAAAAUGAAAACAGCAUAUUAACAUAUUUAGGAUAAUAAAAAAGAAUGAAUUUUGCCAUUUGCAACAGCAUGGAUAGACCUGGGGGAUAUUAUUCUUAGUGAAAUAAGUCAAACAGAGAAAGACAAAUACUAUAUGUUAUCACUUCUAUAUGGAAUCUAAAAAUGUUUUCAAUGAAUGAAUAUAACAAAACCAAAACAAACUCACAGAUAUAGCAAAGAAACUGAAUUGUUACAGUGGAGAGAGGGAAGUGGGGGAGGGCCAAGAGGGGGUAGGUGAUUAAGUGAUACAAACUACUACAUAUAAAAUAAGUUACAAGGAUAUAUUGUACAGCAUAGGGAAUAUAUCCAAUAUUUUAUAGUAACUUUAUGUGGAGUAUCAUCUAUAAAAUUAUUGAUUCACUGUUGUACACCUAAAACUAAUAUAAUAUUGCAAAUUAACCAUCUCAAUAAAAUUAUUAAAAAAAUUUUUAAAAUGUAUGGAAUGAGGCAAAGUAGUGCAGAGAUGGAAAUUAUAUUCCAAAUUGUUUAUACUAUCAGAAACAAAAUGAGGAUUGUGCAGCCAUUCAAUGGGAAAUAAUGGAGUAAUAUGCAAAACUUAGAAGAAAUGAACAAAGUCUAUGAAAUCUACAACAACCAAAUCUCAACCAGUAAAAAAAAAAAAUUAACAUCCCUUUAACCUUCAAAUCAAUUGUAUUUGAUGGUUUCUCAGGACAGAUAUCUCCAGUCCAGAUGCUGGAGAUACAAGACAAAAAAAAAUUGAAGGCAAAGAAAAUGAUAAUAACUCAUGGUUAUUGACACAAAAUUCUUAAUACGUAAUUAGCAAAUUGAAUCUGGAAAUAAAUAAAAAAUAGUAUCUUAUCAAGUACACUUUUUCUCAGAAAUGGAAGAUGUUUUAACCUUUAAAAAUCAUCGGCAUAAGAAAAUAUAUACAUAAUUUACACAUACUAGAAUAUUAUUCAGCCUUGAAAAAGAAGGGAAUCCUGCCUCUAUGACAAAAUGAAUGGAACUUAAGGAAAUAUUCUAAGAUAAACAAAUCAGAGAAAGACAAAUUUUGUAUUUUCUUGCUUGUAUGUGGAAUCUAAAAGUGCCAAGAUCACAGAAACAAAAAAUAUAAUGAUAGGUAUUAUGGGCUUGGGAGUACAAAAUAAAUGGGGAUAUAUUUGUCAAAGAGUAUGAACAUCCAACUAUAAGAUAAAUAAGUUCUGGGGUUAUAAAGUACAGCAUGGCGACUAUAGUUAAAAAUACUAUAUGCUUGAAAGUUGUUAAGAGAAUAUACCUUAAAUGUUAUCACCAUGAAAAGCAAAUGUUAACUACAUCAGGGGAUGGCAAUGUUAACUAGCCUUAUCAUGGUAAUAAUUUUGCAAUAUAUAUGUAUAUCAAACCAUUGUGUAUAGAUUUUAAUCUUACAUAAGUUAUAUGUCAAUAACACCUCCAAAUAGCUGGGAAAAAAAUCAAUCAGUCAGUGCAACUCACCAUAUUUGUAGGGUAUAAGAGAAAAAACAUUUAAUGAUAGUUAUCACCCAGUCAAACCAGAAACAACGAACUAGGAAGAGAACCUC